GAUGAACGCUGGCGGCGUGCCUAAUACAUGCAAGUCGAGCGAACAGAUGAGGAGCUUGCUCCUCUGACGUUAGCGGCGGACGGGUGAGUAACACGUGGAUAACCUACCUAUAAGACUGGGAUAACUUCGGGAAACCGGAGCUAAUACCGGAUAAUAUAUUGAACCGCAUGGUUCAAUAGUGAAAGACGGUUUUGCUGUCACUUAUAGAUGGAUCCGCGCCGCAUUAGCUAGUUGGUAAGGUAACGGCCUACCAAGGCUACGAUGCGUAGCCGACCUGAGAGGGUGAUCGGCCACACUGGAACGGAGACACGGUCCAGACUCCUACGGGAGGCAGCAGUAGGGAAUCUUCCGCAAUGGGCGAAAGCCUGACGGAGCAACGCCGCGUGAGUGAUGAAGGUCUUCGGAUCGUAAAACUCUGUUAUUAGGGAAGAACAAAUGUGUAAGUAACUAUGCACGUCUUGACGGUACCUAAUCAGAAAGCCACGGCUAACUACGUG
Molecule: ribosomal RNA, 497 nt
Filed under: uncultured bacterium
Lineage: Bacteria
Description: partial 16S ribosomal RNA
Rfam family: Bacterial small subunit ribosomal RNA
Source: RNAcentral